GCCAGGGUAGUCCUAGUGAGGAGUCACAGGACUGUUUGAGUUGAGCACAAUUCGGAUGAUCUAAUCAGGGUUGACAGUUUAAUCCUGAGUCAUCCUAAACACAGGGGUCAAAAGGGAUGAAUUAUGCAGUCACCAUAUUCACGUAGGUUCUGAGUAUUGCGAUUGCGACUAUUCGACCUAUCCGGAUGUUGGGUACCAUUGCUAGAUGGUCACUUCGAUUAGUACAGGAAUUGAUUCCUGUGCUACCGACUUAGAUUCGAACCUGCGGGGUCACACACAUUAGAGGUUCCUAUCUGGUCUGAUGGCUGAUGAAGAGUUCUAAUGCUCAUGGACUAUGAGUCCUAUGUGUCUGAAAUUCUAUGAUCGAGAAUCAGGAUUCUCUUAUCAUGAGUCUCACACAUUUUGGGUACCGGGGUCAAGAGUCCCACUGGUUUGGGACUCUUCGAUCAAGGUUUCAUAUCGAUGGACUUUGAUACCCGAUUGCCCAUCGGAUUUGGACUCAGUAUUUAUGAGAGGUUUAAUUAAUGAUUUGAUCACUAAUUAACUCAAUUUGAUUGAGUAAUUAUUUUUGGAUC
RNAcentral lists this long non-coding RNA (575 nucleotides) under Elaeis guineensis (African oil palm). Its description in RNAcentral is "long non-coding RNA (EGUI_LNC075523)". The record is from RNAcentral. Lineage: Eukaryota; Viridiplantae; Streptophyta; Magnoliopsida; Arecales; Arecaceae.